RNAcentral lists this ribosomal RNA (1306 nucleotides) under metagenome. RNAcentral describes it as "bacterial LSU rRNA". It matches the Rfam family "Bacterial large subunit ribosomal RNA", at positions 1570 to 2912 of the family's 2925-position model. The record is from RNAcentral.
GUAUUCGGACAAUCAGAUAGUGAUCCUAAGGGCUUCCAAGAAAAACUUCUAGCAUUAAGCGUAUAAUUACCCGUACCGCAAACCGACACAGGUGGUCGAGGAGAGAAUCCUAAGGUGCUCGAGUGAAUCAUGGUUAAGGAACUCGGCAAAAUGGCCCUGUAACUUCGGGAGAAGGGGCGCCCCCAGCGAUGGGGGCCGCAGUGAAGAGGCCCAGGCGACUGUUUAACAAAAACACAUGGCUUUGCAAAGUUUCAAGACUAAGUAUAAGGCCUGACACCUGCCCGGUGCUGGAAGGUUAAGAGGGGAUGUUAGUCGCAAGGCGAAGCAUUGAAUCGAAGCCCCAGUAAACGGCGGCCGUAACAAUAACGGUCCUAAGGUAGCGAAAUUCCUUGUCGGGUAAGUUCCGACCUGCACGAAUGGUGUAACGAUCUGGGCGCUGUCUCAACCAUGAGCUCGGUGAAAUUGUAGUCGCGGUGAAGAUGCCGCGUACCCGCAACGGGACGGAAAGACCCCAUGCACCUUUACUGCAGCUUAGUAUUGGUACUGGACAAAUGAUGUGUAGGAUAGGUGGGAGGCUGUGAAGCGGGUUCGCCAGGAUUCGUGGAGCCACUGUUGAAAUACCACCCUUUGUUUGUUUGGUAUCUAACCCCGUAUGGGGGACAUUGCUUGGUGGGUAGUUUGACUGGGGUGGUCGCCUCCAAAAGGAUAACGGAGGCUUCCAAAGGUUCCCUCAGUACGCUUGGUAACCGUACGAGGAGUGCAAUAGCAUAAGGGAGCUUGACUGUAAGGCCGACAAGCCGAGCAGGGUGGAAACACGGGUAUAGUGAUCCGGCGGUUUUGAAUGGAAGAGCCGUCGCUCAAAGGAUAAAAGGUACGCUGGGAUAACAGGCUGAUCUCCCCCAAGAGCUCAUAUCGACGGGGAGGUUUGGCACCUCGAUGUCGGCUCGUCACAUCCUGGGGCUGGAGAAGGUCCCAAGGGUUCGGCUGUUCGCCGAUUAAAGUGGCACGCGAGCUGGGUUCAGAACGUCGUGAGACAGUUCGGUCCCUAUCUGUUGCGGGCGUGGGAAGUUUGCGAGGACCUGACCUUAGUACGAGAGGACCGGGUUGGACUGACCGCUGGUGUACCGGUUGUGAUGCCAAUUGCAUUGCCGGGUAGCUACGUCGGGAAGAGAUAAGCGCUGAAAGCAUCUAAGUGCGAAACUCCCCUCAAGAUGAGACUUCCAUAUAGGGCCGUCAGAGACGAUGACGUUGAUAGGCUAUAGGUGUAAAGGCAGCAAUGUCAUAGCCGAGUAGUACUAAUUGCCAA